UUUUUAAUGCAGUAUGGUAGCUAACGCGUUAAGUAUCCCGCCUGGGGAGUACGGUCGCAAGACUGAAACUCAAAGGAAUUGACGGGGGCCCGCACAAGCGGUGGAGCAUGUGGUUUAAUUCGAUGCAACGCGAAGAACCUUACCAAGGCUUGACAUACUACAGCUUUCUUUGAAAGAGGAAAGUGCCUUCGGGAAUGUAGAUACAGGUGGUGCAUGGCUGUCGUCAGCUCGUGUCGUGAGAUGUUGGGUUAAGUCCCGCAACGAGCGCAACCCUUAUUUUUAGUUACUAACUUGUUAGGUUUUCUAGAAAGACUGCCGGUGACAAACCGGAGGAAGGUGAGGAUGACGUCAAGUCAGCAUGCCCCUUAUGUCCUGGGCUACACACGUGCUACAAUGGUUAAGACAAAGAGUUGCGAGCUCGCGAGAGUCAGCUAAUCUCAUAAACUUAGCCUAAGUUCAGAUUGUAGGCUGCAACUCGCCUACAUGAAGUUGGAAUCGCUAGUAAUCGCUGGUCAGCCAUACAGCGGUGAAUCCGUUCCCGGGCCUUGUACACACCGCCCGUCACACCAUGGGAGCUGGUCAUACCCGAAACCGUUUGCUUAACCUUUCGGAGAGCGGCGUCUAAGGUAGGGCUAGUGACUGGGGUGAAGUCGUAACAAGGUAACCGUACUGGAAGGUGCGGUUG
This 685-nucleotide ribosomal RNA is filed under the name seawater metagenome. Its description in RNAcentral is "bacterial SSU rRNA". It matches the Rfam family "Bacterial small subunit ribosomal RNA", at positions 832 to 1520 of the family's 1533-position model. The record is from RNAcentral.